CCUACGGGAGACAGCAGUCGAGAAUCAUUCACAAUGGGGGAAACCCUGAUGGUGCGACGCCGCGUGGGGGAAUGAAGGUCUUCGGAUUGUAAACCCCUGUCAUGUGGGAGCAAAUUAAAAAGAUAGUACCACAAGAGGAAGAGACGGCUAACUCUGUGCCAGCAGCCGCGGUAAUACAGAGGUCUCAAGCGUUGUUCGGAAUCACUGGGCGUAAGGCGUGCGUAGGCUGUUUCGUAAGUAGGGUGUGAAAGGCGCGGGCUCAACCCGCGGACGGCACAUGAUACUGCGAUACUAGAGUAAUGUAGGGGGAACCGGAAUUCUCGGUGUAGCAGUGAAAUGCGUAGAUAUCGAGAGGAACACUCGUGGCGAAGGCGAGUUCCUGGACAUUAACUGACGCUGAGGCACGAAGGCCAGGGGAGCGAAAGGGAUUAGAUACCCGAGUAGUC
This 446-nucleotide ribosomal RNA is filed under the name uncultured bacterium. Its description in RNAcentral is "partial 16S ribosomal RNA". It matches the Rfam family "Bacterial small subunit ribosomal RNA", at positions 338 to 795 of the family's 1533-position model. The record is from RNAcentral.